AAUCAACGCUGGCGGCGUGCCUCAGACAUGCAAGUCGAACGCGAAAUUUCCCUUCGGGGAGAAAGUAGAGUGGCGCACGGGUGAGUAACACGUAGGUAAUUUGCCUUUGGGUGGGGAAUAACUCAGGGAAACUUGAGCUAAUACCGCAUAAUGCAGCGGCUCGACAUCGAGACAGUUGUUAAAGCGGGGGAUUGGAGCAAUCCGACCUCGCGCCUAAAGAGAAGCCUGCGGCAGAUUAGCUAGUUGGUAAGGUAAUGGCGUACCAAGGCGACGAUCUGUAACCGGCCUGAGAGGGCGGUCGGUCACACUGACACUGACAUACGGGUCAGACUCCUACGGGAGGCAGCAGUCGGGAAUUUUGGGCAAUGGGCGCAAGCCUGACCCAGCAACGCCGCGUGAAGGAUGAAAUUUUUCGGAAUGUAAACUUCGCAAGAACAGGAAGAAUAAGUGUAGGACAAUACCCACAUGAUGACGGUACUGUUUGUAAGCUCCGGCUAACUCCGUGCC
This 507-nucleotide ribosomal RNA is filed under the name uncultured bacterium. Its description in RNAcentral is "bacterial SSU rRNA". It matches the Rfam family "Bacterial small subunit ribosomal RNA", at positions 32 to 509 of the family's 1533-position model. The record is from RNAcentral.